This 793-nucleotide ribosomal RNA is filed under the name Actinomycetota bacterium. RNAcentral's name for it is "bacterial SSU rRNA". It matches the Rfam family "Bacterial small subunit ribosomal RNA", at positions 38 to 841 of the family's 1533-position model. Lineage: Bacteria; Bacillati; Actinomycetota. The record is from RNAcentral.
GGGGGGGACUUGCUUACCAUAGCAGUCGACGGUGAACACGGAGCUUGCUCUGUGGGAUCAGUGGCGAACGGGUGAGUAACACGUGAGCAACCUGCCCCUGACUCUGGGAUAAGCGCUGGAAACGGCGUCUAAUACUGGAUAUGUGACGUGAUCGCAUGGUCUGCGUCUGGAAAGAAUUUCGGUUGGGGAUGGGCUCGCGGCCUAUCAGCUUGUUGGUGAGGUAAUGGCUCACCAAGGCGUCGACGGGUAGCCGGCCUGAGAGGGUGACCGGCCACACUGGGACUGAGACACGGCCCAGACUCCUACGGGAGGCAGCAGUGGGGAAUAUUGCACAAUGGGCGCAAGCCUGAUGCAGCAACGCCGCGUGAGGGAUGACGGCCUUCGGGUUGUAAACCUCUUUUAGCAGGGAAGAAGCGAAAGUGACGGUACCUGCAGAAAAAGCGCCGGCUAACUACGUGCCAGCAGCCGCGGUAAUACGUAGGGCGCAAGCGUUAUCCGGAAUUAUUGGGCGUAAAGAGCUCGUAGGCGGUUUGUCGCGUCUGCUGUGAAAUCCGGAGGCUCAACCUCCGGCCUGCAGUGGGUACGGGCAGACUAGAGUGCGGUAGGGGAGAUUGGAAUUCCUGGUGUAGCGGUGGAAUGCGCAGAUAUCAGGAGGAACACCGAUGGCGAAGGCAGAUCUCUGGGCCGUAACUGACGCUGAGGAGCGAAAGGGUGGGGAGCAAACAGGCUUAGAUACCCUGGUAGACCCCCCGCAAACGUUGGGAACUACUUGUUUUCUUUUUCUACCAAUUUC